CUCAUUGAGACCGGCAGAGGGACAGGCCCUUGGACGCCGGGGCAACCUUCGGGGGUUAACCACUCCGAAAAGGUGCCAACUCCUGCGGAAGCCCAUCGAGGUUUCCGGGAAAUGAG
Molecule: non-coding RNA, 116 nt
Filed under: marine eukaryotic metagenome
Description: SAM riboswitch (S box leader)
Rfam family: SAM riboswitch aptamer (S box leader)
About the family: The SAM riboswitch is found upstream of a number of genes which code for proteins involved in methionine or cysteine biosynthesis in Gram-positive bacteria.
Source: RNAcentral